This 511-nucleotide ribosomal RNA is filed under the name Rickettsiella grylli. RNAcentral's name for it is "bacterial LSU rRNA". It matches the Rfam family "Bacterial large subunit ribosomal RNA", at positions 1 to 546 of the family's 2925-position model. Lineage: Bacteria; Pseudomonadati; Pseudomonadota; Gammaproteobacteria; Legionellales; Coxiellaceae. The record is from RNAcentral.
AAAUUAAGUGAAUAAGCGCAGAAGGUGGAUGCCUAGGCAGUCGAAGGCGAAGAAAGACGUGGAAGCCUGCGAAAAGCUUCGGGGAGCUGGCAAACAAGCAUUGAUCCGGAGAUAUCUGAAUGGGGAAACCCGGCCUAUUUCAUAUAGGUCAUUGUUAACUGAAUUCAUAGGUUAACAAAGCGAACCGAGGGAACUGAAACAUCUAAGUACCUCGAGGAAAAGAAAUCAAUUGAGAUUCUGCAAGUAGCGGCGAGCGAACGUGGAAAAGCCUUCACGAGCUAGUUAACAGAUUAGCCAAAAGUUCUGGAAAGGACUGCCCUAGAGGGUGAAAGCCCCGUCGGCGAAAAUGUGUUAAUGAGACUAAGCGUGAAAUCAAGUAGGGCGGGACACGAGAAAUCCUGUCUGAAGAUGGGGGGACCAUCCUCCAAGGCUAAAUACUCUCGACUGACCGAUAGUGAACCAGUACCGUGAGGGAAAGGCGAAAAGAACCCCGGAGAGGGGAGUGAAAUAG